Molecule: ribosomal RNA, 572 nt
Filed under: uncultured bacterium
Lineage: Bacteria
Description: partial 16S ribosomal RNA
Rfam family: Bacterial small subunit ribosomal RNA
Source: RNAcentral
UGGGGAAUUUUGGACAAUGGGCGAAAGCCUGAUCCAGCAAUGCCGCGUGUGUGAAGAAGGCCUUCGGGUUGUAAAGCACUUUUGUCCGGAAAGAAAUCCUUGGCUCUAAUACAGUCGGGGGAUGACGGUACCGGAAGAAUAAGCACCGGCUAACUACGUGCCAGCAGCCGCGGUAAUACGUAGGGUGCAAGCGUUAAUCGGAAUUACUGGGCGUAAAGCGUGCGCAGGCGGUUUGCUAAGACCGAUGUGAAAUCCCCGGGCUCAACCUGGGAACUGCAUUGGUGACUGGCAGGCUAGAGUAUGGCAGAGGGGGGUAGAAUUCCACGUGUAGCAGUGAAAUGCGUAGAGAUGUGGAGGAAUACCGAUGGCGAAGGCAGCCCCCUGGGCCAAUACUGACGCUCAUGCACGAAAGCGUGGGGAGCAAACAGGAUUAGAUACCCUGGUAGUCCACGCCCUAAACGAUGUCAACUAGUUGUUGGGGACUUCAUUUCCUUAGUAACGUAGCUAACGCGUGAAGUUGACCGCCUGGGGAGUACGGUCGCAAGAUUAAAACUCAAAUGAAUUGACGGGGU